CCUACGGGCGGCAGCAGUGGGGAAUAUUGGACAAUGGGCGAAAGCCUGAUCCAGCCAUGCCGCGUGUGUGAAGAAGGCCUUCGGGUUGUAAAGCACUUUCAGUGGGGAAGAAAGCCUUGGGGCUAAUACCCUCGAGGAAGGACAUCACCCACAGAAGAAGCACCGGCUAACUCCGUGCCAGCAGCCGCGGUAAUACGGAGGGUGCGAGCGUUAAUCGGAAUUACUGGGCGUAAAGCGCGCGUAGGCGGUCUGAUAAGCCGGUUGUGAAAGCCCCGGGCUCAACCUGGGAACGGCAUCCGGAACUGUCAGGCUAGAGUGCAGGAGAGGAAGGUAGAAUUCCCGGUGUAGCAGUGAAAUGCGUAGAGAUCGGGAGGAAUACCAGUGGCGAAGGCGGCCUUCUGGACUGACACUGACGCUGAGGUGCGAAAGCGUGGGUAGCAAACAGGAUUAGAUACCCUUGUAGUC
Molecule: ribosomal RNA, 465 nt
Filed under: Vreelandella stevensii
Lineage: Bacteria; Pseudomonadati; Pseudomonadota; Gammaproteobacteria; Oceanospirillales; Halomonadaceae
Description: partial 16S ribosomal RNA
Rfam family: Bacterial small subunit ribosomal RNA
Source: RNAcentral